UACGUAGGUGGCAAGCGUUGUCCGGAAUUAUUGGGCGUAAAGGGCUCGCAGGCGGUUUCUUAAGUCUGAUGUGAAAGCCCCCGGCUCAACCGGGGAGGGUCAUUGGAAACUGGGAAACUUGAGUGCAGAAGAGGAGAGUGGAAUUCCACGUGUAGCGGUGAAAUGCGUAGAGAUGUGGAGGAACACCAGUGGCGAAGGCGACUCUCUGGUCUGUAACUGACGCUGAGGAGCGAAAGCGUGGGGAGCGAACAGGAUUAGAUACCCUGGUAGUCCACGCCGUAAACGAUGAGUGCUAAGUGUUAGGGGGUUUCCGCCCCUUAGUGCUGCAGCUAACGCAUUAAGCACUCCGCCUGGGGAGUACGGUCGCAAGACUGAA
This 376-nucleotide ribosomal RNA is filed under the name uncultured bacterium. RNAcentral's name for it is "bacterial SSU rRNA". It matches the Rfam family "Bacterial small subunit ribosomal RNA", at positions 524 to 898 of the family's 1533-position model. The record is from RNAcentral.